AGAGCCGUGCUUUAAGGAGUUUGUCAUAUAGGAGGGACAGUCAGGUUUUGCUGCAUGAAAGGAGUUUGGGGUUAGACAUACCGUAUUUGGUCAUAGGCAGCUUUUUAAAUACUAAGUUAAUGUCUGUAAGCUGAAGACCUGGGAUGCAAAACAUAAAAGUUAAAAAAAAAAAUACUGAGUUAAUGGAAAGAGAGAAUGCUAAUGAGUCUUCACUAAGCCACUUUUAAUUGUUGGAUUUUCUGCUUGGAUUUGUGGUAGAUAUUCUCCCACAUAGAUGCUUAUAUGUUUUCUACCAGACUGUGAUCUUCCUAACAGCAAAAGCCACUCAUGUUUGUCUCUCCAGAAUCCUUUUCCCUGGAGGAAGUGUUGACCUCAGACGCUCAGAUUAUGCUAAAGUGGCCAAAAUAUUUUAUAA
This 415-nucleotide small RNA is filed under the name Pan troglodytes (chimpanzee). RNAcentral describes it as "processed transcript". The record is from RNAcentral. Lineage: Eukaryota; Metazoa; Chordata; Mammalia; Primates; Hominidae.